CCUGAUUUUCUAUUGGUCAAUACUCAUGGCAUCGCCUACAAACGCCACGUUUCCCUCCUCUUAAAAGCUCGGAACCCUCUCGAUCCCUCUCCUUAACGAAGCUAUAAGUUGUAAACGCAAACACUCUCGAUAACUCGAAUAACAAUUUUUUUUGGGUGGGAUUUAGCGAUCUUGUUUCUCUUGUGAACGCAGAACAUUCUUCUGGGGAUUUGGAUUCGAUUUUCUUGAAAAAAAAAUGAAGAACACCUGGACCAUAUCGAUGAUAUUCUUUACAUGUUCUCUGUUAUUAUUCGCCUUCGUAGAGUCAAAAUCUCUUGACCCGUAUAAGGUACUAGGAGUAGAAAAGGAUGCAAGUUGGAGGCAAAUUCAAAAAGCUUUCCACAAGCUCUCUCUUCAAUAUCAUCCCGAUAAGAACAAAAAUAAAGGCGCUUAGGAAAAGUUUGAAGAAAUAAAUGACGCAUAUGAAAUUUUAUCCGAUGAAGAAAAGAGAAAAAAUUACGAUAUGUACGGAUCAUUACAAAGUCGGCAAUGGAUCGUCUUAACGUUUCAAUCAUGGCGGAUUCUCUUAUUUCCUCUAUCGCAACCUUUCACACCACCAAAAUCAUCGUCAUAGAUCCCACUAAAUAUUCCUUCAUUGGCUCAAUCCCUGAAGCUAUGUAUGCUUGCGAGUCUGACGCAAGUAACGUUAUUCAAGAGUAUAAGAAGCAUCCUUCUUCGGCCCCAUGGGAACUCACUCUAACCAUGGUUCGUUCAAUAGAGGAGGCUGACAGGCUAGCCAAGAGGGGAAAGAAAUCAGACACACAGAAGGAGGCAACAUAGGUAAAUCAACCAAGGGUCAAACCCCUAAAAAACGAAAGUCUGACAAGGCUGCUCCUUUACAACCUAAACAGAAGAAGCAGAAGAAGCCAACUCGGAGACUAAUUCUUCAAUCCUUAAGCGAUUCAGACUCUGUGUAUAUUCCUCCUCUUACCAAACCUUCUACUCACUCAGACUCAGAGAGCGAAAGCUCUGACGACGAGGCUUCGGGUCGUGGUGGAACCCCCCCUCGCUCGCCUACCCCAAAGGAACCUGUUCGCUCCAAACCCCCUUCUCCUCCACUUGUUUCGGUACCUGUCUCUAUCCCUCCAAUCACUACAUCUCAACCAUCAACUAUUAUUCCCAUCCCUGAUCCAAUCUUUACUGAAGCAACAACAACCACCACUACUGGAGUUCGAACCAACGUAUUUAUAGGCAGUCUUCGGACUUGAAACCCGGACUUCAGCAUCAAUUAUGUUUUGGAAAAUGGUUUUGUUUUCUUUUUAUAGAAAAAUCAUUUGGUUUUAUUAUCUCAGUCAGAUUCCCUGAAAAAUGACUGCAGAGAUUCCACUUAAUUUGCAGAGAUUCCAUCUUCUUUGGCUGGAUCCGAUUUUUUUAUUGGUUUUGUCUUUUUUUGUUCUUCUUGCUCGAUGCAUCUUCUUUGGAGUGAAUACUUGCAGCUUCAUUCAUUAGUUGAUCAUCUUGUAAUGAAGAUGAGUUGCUACGGUCCAUUAUAUGGAAAAAAAUAUUAAGAGAAAAUCCAAUUAUUUCCCAAAAUGAACUAAAUAAACUAAUCCAAAAACGAGAAAAAAUGUUAACAGAUUUCUCGUUGGAAGAUGAUGACAACAUGUCCUUACAAGGAUAUUUCGAUAAUGAAGAUAUGGAUGGUAUUAGUUUAGAAGAACAAGAUGAUCAACUAAUGAAUGAAGCUGUAAGUAUUCACUCCAAAGAAGGUGCAUCGAGCAAGAAGAACGAAAAAAGACAAAACCAAUAAAAAAAUCGGAUCCAGCCAAAGAAGAUGGAAUCUCUGCAUAUUAAGUGGAAUCUCUGCAGUCAUUUUUCAGGGAAUCUGACUGAGAUAAUAAAACCAAAUGAUUUUUCUAUAAAAAGAAAACAAAACCAUUUUCCAAGACAUAAUUGAUGCUGAAGUACGGGUUUCAAGUCCGAAGACUGCCUAUAAAUAGAGUCUCGCUCAUUUGAAGAAGGAUUUGGUAAACCCUAAUUAACUCACGAGAUAAAUUCUUCUCGCAAUCACUUUCGAAACCCUGAACGGCUGAUUCAUGAUCGCAAACCGAUUCCCGUUACAGUUGAUAACCCCCCUGUGUUUUAAUUAGUUAACAUUAGUAAUAGUUUUAAUUAUUAUUAUUGGUCACCGUGUUCGAUAUCUUACUUACCUGCACUAAACUACAAUUCGAUUACAUACAUUAUCUAUCGUUUGUUGGUUUUUGUCUAAAUUAGUUUGGAUUAAAACUAGUAUUUUACAUGUAUGAAGAUUCUAUCAAAAA
Molecule: long non-coding RNA, 2300 nt
Organism: Lactuca sativa (garden lettuce)
Lineage: Eukaryota; Viridiplantae; Streptophyta; Magnoliopsida; Asterales; Asteraceae
Source: RefSeq, a predicted model, not a curated record